AGCAGCCGCGGUAAUUCCAGCUCCAAUAGCGUAUAUUAAAGUUGUUGCAGUUAAAAAGCUCGUAGUUGGAUUUCUGGUACGGUGCGCCUGGCCCACGGUCGCAAGAUCGCGAGUGUCGGUGUGCGCCUGCCAUCUUUCUAGUUAACCGGACGCACUUAACUGGGCGGUCGGCGAUCUAGUUCAUUUACUUUGAAAAAAU
RNAcentral lists this ribosomal RNA (199 nucleotides) under uncultured Rhizophagus. RNAcentral's name for it is "partial 18S ribosomal RNA". It matches the Rfam family "Eukaryotic small subunit ribosomal RNA", at positions 569 to 766 of the family's 1831-position model. Lineage: Eukaryota; Fungi; Glomeromycota; Glomeromycetes; Glomerales; Glomeraceae. The record is from RNAcentral.